Molecule: ribosomal RNA, 374 nt
Filed under: uncultured bacterium
Lineage: Bacteria
Description: bacterial SSU rRNA
Rfam family: Bacterial small subunit ribosomal RNA
Source: RNAcentral
GUAGGGCGCGAGCGUUGUCCGGAUUUAUUGGGCGUAAAGAGCUCGUAGGCGGCUUGUUGCGUCGUCCGUGAAAACCUGGGGCUCAACUCCAGGCUUGCGGUCGAUACGGGCAGGCUAGAGUUCGGUAGGGGAGACUGGAAUUCCUGGUGUAGCGGUGAAAUGCGCAGAUAUCAGGAGGAACACCGGUGGCGAAGGCGGGUCUCUGGGCCGAUACUGACGCUGAGGAGCGAAAGCGUGGGGAGCGAACAGGAUUAGAUACCCUGGUAGUCCACGCUGUAAACGUUGGGCGCUAGGUGUGGGGGGCCUCUCCGGUUUCCUGCGCCGUAGCUAACGCAUUAAGCGCCCCGCCUGGGGAGUACGGCCGCAAGGCUAAA